GGUAGGGACAAACGUACCUUUCUGCAGAUGCUCUAUGAUCCGGGCAAUCUCAUUUGGUCGUAAUUUGAAGAAAAUCUAGCGGCUAUAGGCCUUAUUCUCCUUGUUUUCGCCAGAUGGCAUGCUGUAACUCAUGCGCGUGAAAGCCAAGAACAAAAGGGCAUUCCUGGCAUCGGUCAAUAUAUAUGUGGAAACGAUAUCUCCACUAUAGAGGACAAGAAAUUUUGGGGCUGUCAAGCAAAAGGUGCACGAGAAAAUGAAGUACUUUCAAGGACUGCCAUAGAAUGGAGAGAUGUUCACUAAAACGGUCAUAAUUUUGUCAUUCGGAGUCCGUGUCGGACCCACAAGUACUCAAACUGCUCGCGGCGAGCACGCGAAUCCAGAAAAUACUGCCCGCUUGCGCCAGGAGGCCCAGAGUACCCUCAAAUACGGCCUUAAUCAGGACUUUUUGGCCCUGAAAGUCAAAGAACAUCAUUCGUCGCUGUUUUCCAAACAAUUUUCUGAACCCAUUGGCACUUGCUUUUGAAGGAAAUUCGAGAGAUUAUGUUUCUUAUAGACAUUACCCCCCCCCCCCGGUAGGGACAAACGUACCUUUCUGCAGAUGCUCUAUGAUCCGGGCAAUCUCAUUUGGCCGUAAAUUGAAGAAAAUCAAGCGGCUAUAUGCCUUAUUCUCCUUAUUUUCGCCGGAUGGCAUGCUGUAACUCACGCUCAUGAAAGCCAUGAACAAAAGGGCAUUCCUGGCAUCGCUCAAUAUAUAUGUGGAAACGAUAUCUCCUCUAUAGAGAAGAAGAAAUUUUGGGGCAGUCAGGCAAAAAGCGCACGAGAAAAUGUAGUACUUUCAAGGACUGCCAUAGAAUGGAGAGAUGUUCACUAAAACGGUCAUAAUUUUGUCAUUUGGAGUCCGUGUCAGACCCACAAGUACUCACACUGCUCGUGGUGAGCACGCUAAUCCAGAAAUUACUUGCCGCUUGCGCCAGGAGGCCCGGAGUACCCUCAAAUUCAGCCUUAAGCAGGACUUUUUGGCCCUGAAAGUCAAAGAACACCAUUCGUCGCUGUUUUUUAGACAAGUUUCCGAACCCAUUGGCACUUGCUUUUGAAGGAAAUUUGAGAGAUUAUGUUUCUUAUAGACAUUAGCCCCCCUGGUAGGGACAAACGUACCUUUCUGCAGAUGCUCUAUGAUCCGGGCAAUCUCAUUUGGUCGUAAAUUGAAGAAAAUCUAGCGGCUAUAUGCCUUAUUCUCCUUGUUUUCGCCGGAUGGCAUGCUGUAACUCAUGCGCGUGAAAGCCAAGAACAAAAGGGCAUUCCUGGCAUCGGUCAAUAUAUAUGUGGAAACGAUAUCUCCACUAUAGAGGACAAGAAAUUUUGGGGCAGUCAGGCAAAAAGCGCACGAGAAAAUGAAGUACUUUCAAGGACUGCCAUAGAAUGGAGAGAUGUUCACCAAAACGGUCAUAAUUUUGUCAUUCGGAGUCCGUGUCGGACCCACAAGUACUCAAAC
RNAcentral lists this long non-coding RNA (1492 nucleotides) under Triticum aestivum (bread wheat). RNAcentral's name for it is "long non-coding RNA (TAES_LNC016173)". Lineage: Eukaryota; Viridiplantae; Streptophyta; Magnoliopsida; Poales; Poaceae. The record is from RNAcentral.